Salvia miltiorrhiza (redroot sage) is the source of this 429-nucleotide long non-coding RNA. RefSeq lists it as uncharacterized. The record is from RefSeq and is a predicted model, not a curated record. Lineage: Eukaryota; Viridiplantae; Streptophyta; Magnoliopsida; Lamiales; Lamiaceae. The transcript has 2 exons.
GUUGGCCACACUUCUUCAAACAUUUUGAUGCGUCAUAAGUUCCUCUAUAGUCACACGGCUCUGAGCAUCCACUUGACGGUGAAAGAUAUUGAGACCAAUACCGCCCUAUGCUCAGACCGUUCACCCAUGCUUGGCCUUUCCCCAUCCCGGAAAGAUUUAGUGAUACAGGGCCGUUCCCUUCUGGAGCAAGGAACGCCGUCUGAUAAUACCAGAUGCCAUUUUUGGGCAAGUGAAAUCUCAAGAAGAUUUUGGUUGGAAGGUGGAAUCAACAAGGACAGAGAAAAUAUUAACGCGCAAAUGUAAGAACGCACAUCAUGCAUGAUGAUUUACCAGUGGUUUGGGCUUGUUUCCAGUUUCAAUUUGAGGUAGGUAUUUAUUAUGUUACACACAUAAUAAUUUGUCAAUUUGAUAAACCAAGUUAUAACCGAC